UUGGUGUGCACCUGGGUUGAUGGCCGGACCGUCGAUUCCCUAACGAUUGCGAACACCUGAAUGAAGCAGAAGGCUUCAUU
This 80-nucleotide small nuclear RNA is filed under the name Rous sarcoma virus. The stretch from base 35 to 80 matches the Rfam family "Rous sarcoma virus (RSV) primer binding site (PBS)", at positions 1 to 46 of the family's 75-position model. From Rfam's summary of the family: This region is known to be required for the efficient initiation of reverse transcription. The record is from RNAcentral. Lineage: Riboviria; Pararnavirae; Artverviricota; Revtraviricetes; Ortervirales; Retroviridae.